GGGGAAACCCAGUGCAAUCCGUUGCACUAUCGUUAACUGAAUACAUAGGUUAACGAGGCGAACCGGGGGAACUGAAACAUCUAAGUACCCCGAGGAAAAGAAAUCAACCGAGAUUCCCCCAGUAGCGGCGAGCGAACGGGGAGCAGCCCGGAGUCUGAAUCAGCUUGUGUGUUAGUGGAACGGUCUGGAAAGUCCGACGGUACAGGGUGAUAGUCCCGUACACGAAAGCACACUUGCUGUGAACUCGAAGAGUAGGGCGGGACACGUGGUAUCCUGUCUGAAUAUGGGGGGACCAUCCUCCAAGGCUAAAUACUCCUGACUGACCGAUAGUGAACCAGUACCGUGAGGGAAAGGCGAAAAGAACCCCGGCGAGGGGAGUGAAAAAGAACCUGAAACCGUGUACGUACAAGCAGUGGGAGCCUCUUUAUGGGGUGACUGCGUACCUUUUGUAUAAUGGGUCAGCGACUUAUAUUCUGUAGCAAGGUUAACCGUAUAGGGGAGCCGAAGGGAAACCGAGUCUUAACUGGGCGUUAAGUUGCAGGGUAUAGACCCGAAACCCGGUGAUCUAGCCAUGGGCAGGUUGAAGGUUGGGUAACACUAACUGGAGGACCGAACCGACUAAUGUUGAAAAAUUAGCGGAUGACCUGUGGCUGGGGGUGAAAGGCCAAUCAAACCGGGAGAUAGCUGGUUCUCCCCGAAAGCUAUUUAGGUAGCGCCUCGUGAACUCAUCUUCGGGGGUAGAGCACUGUUUCGGCUAGGGGGCCAUCCCGGCUUACCAACCCGAUGCAAACUACGAAUACCGAAGAAUGUUAUCACGGGAGACACACGGCGGGUGCUAACGUCCGUCGUGAAGAGGGAAACAACCCAGACCGCCAGCUAAGGUCCCAAAGUCAUGGUUAAGUGGGAAACGAUGUGGGAAGGCACAGACAGCCAGGAUGUUGGCUUAGAAGCAGCCAUCAUUUAAAGAAAGCGUAAUAGCUCACUGGUCGAGUCGGCCUGCGCGGAAGAUGUAACGGGGCUAAACCAUGCACCGAAGCUGCGGCAGCGACACUAUGUGUUGUUGGGUAGGGGAGCGUUCUGUAAGCCGUUGAAGGUGUGCUGUGAGGCAUGCUGGAGGUAUCAGAAGUGCGAAUGCUGACAUAAGUAACGAUAAAGCGGGUGAAAAGCCCGCUCGCCGGAAGACCAAGGGUUCCUGUCCAACGUUAAUCGGGGCAGGGUGAGUCGACCCCUAAGGCGAGGCCGAAAGGCGUAGUCGAUGGGAAACAGGUUAAUAUUCCUGUACUUGGUGUUACUGCGAAGGGGGGACGGAGAAGGCUAUGUCAGCCGGGCGACGGUUGUCCCGGUUUAAGCAUGUAGGCGGAGGUUCCAGGUAAAUCCGGUACCUUAUUAACGCUGAGGUGUGAUGACGAGGCACUACGGUGCUGAAGUGAUAAAUGCCCUGCUUCCAGGAAAAGCCUCUAAGCAUCAGGUAACACGAAAUCGUACCCCAAACCGACACAGGUGGUCAGGUAGAGAAUACCAAGGCGCUUGAGAGAACUCGGGUGAAGGAACUAGGCAAAAUGGUGCCGUAACUUCGGGAGAAGGCACGCUGAUGUGUAGGUGAAGCCCCUGCGGG
This 1615-nucleotide ribosomal RNA is filed under the name Enterobacter hormaechei. RNAcentral's name for it is "partial 23S ribosomal RNA". It matches the Rfam family "Bacterial large subunit ribosomal RNA", at positions 120 to 1780 of the family's 2925-position model. The record is from RNAcentral. RNAcentral also lists the same sequence under 1 other name. Lineage: Bacteria; Pseudomonadati; Pseudomonadota; Gammaproteobacteria; Enterobacterales; Enterobacteriaceae.